AGCGAACGCUGGCGGCAGGCCUAACACAUGCAAGUCGAACGGAAGCACAGUAAGAGCUUGCUCUUACGGGUGGCGAGUGGCGGACGGGUGAGGAAUAUAUCGGAAUCUACUUUUUCGUGGGGGAUAGCGUAGGGAAACUUACGCUAAUACAGCAUACGACCUACGGGUGUAAGCAGUGGAUAUUCGUGCCUGGCGCGUUUGAACGAGCCGAUGUCGGAUUAGAUAGUUGGCGGGGUAAUGGCCCACCAAGGCGAGGAUACGUAGCUGAUCUGAGAGGAUGAUAGGCCACACUGGAACUGAGACGCGGUCCAGACUCCUACGGGAGGACACCGUGGGGACUGUUGGGCCGUGGGCGCGCGCCUGGUCCGGCCGGCCCACGUGGGUGACGAAGGCCUUCGGGUUGUAAAGCCCUUUUGUUGGGAAAGACCCGCAGCCGCUUGCUCCCCCGCUGUUCUGCCGGUCCCCGGUGCCUCCGCCCCGGCUCCCUUCGUG
RNAcentral lists this ribosomal RNA (492 nucleotides) under uncultured bacterium. RNAcentral's name for it is "partial 16S ribosomal RNA". It matches the Rfam family "Bacterial small subunit ribosomal RNA", at positions 28 to 507 of the family's 1533-position model. The record is from RNAcentral.